GCAGUAGGCAGUCAGUUCCCGAUCAGAUCAGCAGCUACUUCGAGGUGAGUUACCUUCCAGUAGCGGUGGGUCUACGGCCACAAUGCCGGCCCACCAGUAGGAGUUGUAUGUUAGAUGAUUGUCUUUGUGAUAUCAUCUAGGUUUGCUACUACCUGAUAUGUUAUAUGCUGGCAUGAUAUGUAUAUGUGAUAGUUGUAGAGUUCGGUUGUUAGGACCGAAGGGUAGGUCAGACACCCCAGAUAUGUCUGACAGUACGUGAUGAUAUGUUUGCAUGCUGGCUUGUUAUGUUAUAUGCGAUAAAGGUAGUAAGAGGGGACUAGUCCCCGAGGAUCGGUUGUUAGGACCGAUGGGUAGUCAGCACCCCAGAAUGGCUUGACACGGGUAGUCAGCACCCCAGAAUGGCUUGACACGGGUAGGACGGCACCCCAGAAUGGCCGUACCGGGUAGUCAGGCACCCCAGAAUAGCCUGGCAGUAUGUAUGUUAUGUGUUUGUAUGGUAUGUGGUACGAUGGGGGAACUCACUAAGCUUUGUGCUUACGGUUUUCAGUUUUGGUUUCAGGUACCUCCUCAGCUAGGGGAAAGGAGCCGGCGCGGUAGCAGCAUGUCACACACACACUCUCUGGUUUCCGCAUUUACGAGCUUCACUGGGAUUUGUACUCUGAUAUUUUGAUUGGUUGUAUGAUUUGGCUUUUAGACAUGGUUCACGUUGUGUUAUGGUUUGAUCAAACAAUGUUUUUAGUUAUUAAUAUUUUCUAAAGUAAUGUUUUAAAACAAAAUUUUUGGUCGUGAAAAUUGGGUCGUUACAAGUUGGUAUCAGAGCCCUGGUUUGAGGGAUUCGGACACACCUUCGGGAGUGUCUGAACUCAAAUCGAGGGAUUAAAAGAUUUUCUAAAAGAAAAUGUUUUCUAAAAUUUGAGAAAAGAGUUUCGAGAAAGAACGAAGUGUGUGAUGUGCGCGACCGGCCGAGCUCAAGUAAGUAUUCCCCAAAGUACCCAUACAAGUUUAUGUUAUGUUUAUCAGCUUUUGUAGAACAGCAUGCUAGAAUAGGACUAAGGAUCUAGGAGUGAUGCCUUAUGUGCCUGCUUUAUGUGUUUCAGUUGUAUGAGAAUUGCAUGCUAGAUAUUGAGUAGACAGUAAGUAGGAUAGCCUGAUUAGGUUAUGCCUGGUAGUAUGAGCUUAGCACUAAAUGCUAGCUCAGUUCCUGAAAGUAGAUAGAGUUAAUUGAGAUUGUUACCCUUAUCUGAAUGCUGCUUGCUUCGUGCUACGUGGGACUCUGAAUAAUGGGAGUUAGCCAUUAGGCGAAUGCGUCACGUCACAUGUGAUCAGGGUUGAAUAAUCUUAGAGUGCCGGAUUUGAUCCUACUGCGCAGCUCUUGUUUGAGUCCAACCGUUGUAGGGACGAGUCGGGUACUCGAAGGAUUAUCUGAGCCUCGUCACAUGUGAUGGUAUUCGGGUAAUGGCUAAUUGGCAUUACAAGGAGGCCUGCAGCAGCUGAGGACUGGUUAGAGUGGAAUUAGAGAUUUCCCUAGGGCAAGCCUAGGAUGAGUAUAGCAGUGAUCAGCAGUAGUGAAAGGGAUCUGGUGGAGUCGAGGCAUUCCUUGAAGAAGGUACGGAUAGAUGUGGAAGGUAGUAUGGGCCCGUACUACUGAAAGCAGAGGAUCCGUACCCGAACCAAGGAAGGCCAAGAUAAGACCAGGGAACUUGUAAGUAGUUGUGAUCCCUCAGGAAGUAUCAGUAUCACUAAUGAUUGUUGUGAUGUAUUGCAGAAUGGUGGUACUUCGAUCGAGGCCGGUAGAUGGCGGUUCAGGAGAGGGGUCAGGUUCGGGAUCAGGUUCCGAGCCGGUUGAUGAGGGACUACGCGAGUUCAUCGCGUCAGAGAUCACCAGAGGCAUCCUUGAGUCGACCCCCAUUCUCUUUGGGUCGAUCAAGGAAGGGAUCAUGGAGUUGAUGGAGGAUCGCCUUCGGGCAUUCAGGAGUGAUAUGGCAUCUAGCCAGUCAGGAUCUCGCACACUGUCCUUCAAGGACUUCAGGGGCAGUGGUGCGCCGGAUUUCCAUGGGGUGAAGGACCCCAUUGCUGCCAGGCGAUGGAUUGCAGACAUCGAGUCUGCACAGUUGACUAGCUUCUGCCCCGAGGGGUCGAAGGUGAGGUAUGCAGCAGGGUGUUUACGGGACCGAGCCCGGGAUUGGUGGGAGUCAGUGGGUGACUCGUUGGGAGCCUCAGCUAUCGAGGCUAUGACCUGGUCGGACUUUGUGACCAGGUUCAGGGCAGAGUUUGCGCCGGCUGUCGAGCUUCAGCAGCUGGCCAGGGAGUUUCUAGACAUGAGGCAGACGACGGAGACUGUGGCGGAGAUCACCGCCAAGUUCCGGGAGAGGGCUUUGUUGGUGCCCCAGUAUGCUGGUGACGAGGACAUGAGGAGGACUCGUUAUCAUGAUAUGCUACGAGCUGACAUCCGGGAGCAUGUUAGCUUUUCGGCUUGCCCUACCUUGGACUCUAUGAUUGCCAGGGCGAGGGAGAGGGAGAUAGAUUUGGAGCACAUCCGGAAACGGAAAUUAGAGGAGGGACAGGCAGGAGGGGCUUCGGGGAAGAAGCCCAAGGGAUCAGAUGGUAGGCCGAAAGGCCAGUCAGGACCGAGCCGCUGCAGGAAAUGCGGCAGGCCGCACGAGGGGGCGUGCAGGAUGGGAUCAUCAGGCUGCUACAAGUGCGGCAAGUCUGGGCACAUCAGCAGGGAUUGCACUGCUCCGGCAGCAGUUAUUCAGACAUCAGAGUUGCUGUGUUUCCACUGCAACCAGAGGGGCCACAAGAAGGCCAAUUGCCCCCAGUUGACAGUCUCAGCGCCGGUGAAGGCGCCAGCUCCAGCGACCCUGCGGAUCACGGAUGGCCGACAGGGCAAGUCAGAGGCUCCAGUGGUGAGGAGCCGAGCAUUUCAGCUGACUACCGAGGAGGCACGCGCCGCACCCGAUGUGGUGACGGGUAUGAUUCUUUCCCUCUAUCUUAUUUUUAUGAUGUUAUGUUAUUGAUAUGUGCUCCGUAUGUAUAUGUAUGCAUUAGGAUCGUUCCAUGUGAACGGCCUUCCAGUUCAGGUGUUGUUCGACUCGGGUGCGUCCCGAUCAUUUGUUUCCCUUGCGCUUAGCAAGAAGUUUCAUGAGUCAUCAGGCGAGUUAGAUUGCCCUUUGGAGGUGGAGAUUGCUGAUGAUCGAUCGGUGCGAGCAUCGAUGGUAUUUUGAGAUUGCGUGCUGCGUUUGUUUGAGGAGCGCUACUUGGUAGAUUUGGUUCCCAUUCUGUUGCGUGGGAACACGGUGAUUAUAGGCAUGGAUUGGCUGAGCCCUAAUGGGGCGGUUUUAGAUUGCGUGCAACAGCUAGUGCGGGUCAGGACCCUAGCUGGGGGAGAGUUAGUAAUUCAUGGCGAGAGGCCGCAGUAUGGACCCGCAAUAUGUUCAGCAGCCAGGGCGACGCGCUACCUUCAGCAGGGAUGCGCAGGAUAUGUCGCGUAUGUGAUGGAUACCCGGGAGGCGGGUAAGGCGACAGUGAGCGAGGUUCCGGUGGUCCGAGACUUUGCAGAUGUUUUCCCGGAGGAGCUUCCUGGGAUACCUCCGGAGCGACAGGUGGAGUUCAGGAUUGACCUUGUUCCUGGUGCGGCUCUGAUAGCCAAGGCGCCGUAUCGGUUGGCUCCUCCCGAGAUGCAGGAGUUGUCUACGCAGCUGCAGGAGAUGCAAGACAAGGGAUUCAUUAGACCGAGUAGUUCACCCAGGGGAGGCCCGAUUUUGUUCGCGAAGAAAAAGGACGGGUCGCAUCGGAUGUGUAUAGAUUAUCGGGAGCUGAACAAGGUAACGGUGAAGAACCGUUACCCGCUCCCGAGGAUUGAUGACCUCUUUGACCAGCUUCAGGGAGCAUCUUGGUUCUCCAAGAUUGAUUUGCGUUCGGGUUAUCAUCAGAUGAGGGUCAGGGAGGAGGAUACGCAGAAGACCGCGUUUCGGACGCGCUAUGGCCAUUAUGAGUUUGUGGUGAUGCCGUUUGGGCUCACCAAUGCUCCUGCCGCGUUCAUGGACCUCAUGAACCGCGUAUGCAGACCGAUGCUGGAUCGGUCUGUGAUAGUCUUUAUCGAUGACAUCUUGGUUUAUUCCAAGACUCGGGAGGAACAUGAGGAGCAUCUGAGAGAGGUGUUGGAGACCCUGAGGAGGGAGAGCUUGUAUGCCAAGUUCUCCAAGUGUGAGUUUUGGUUGCGCGAGGUGCAAUUUCUCGGACACCUCGUCAACCAGAACGGGAUUCUGGUCGAUCCGGCCAAGGUCGAGGCCGUGAUGAGAUGGGAGGUUCCGAAGUCUCCAUCUGAGAUUCGGAGUCUUCUGGGAUUAGCAGGCUACUAUCGGAGAUUUAUUCAGGAUUUCUCCAAGAUAGCCGUACCCCUGACGUCGUGGUCUUUCGGUGGGGACCUGAGCAGCAAGCUGCGUUUGAGACGCUAAGACAGAGACUGUGCGAGGCGCCGAUCUUAGCCCUGCCAGAGGCCGUGGAGGAUUUUGUGGUAUACUGUGACGCGUCCAUUUCUAGGUUGGGCGCGGUACUGAUGCAGAGGGGGCAUGUCAUUGCCUACGCUUCGAGGCAGCUCAAGCCUCACGACGCGAACUACCCGACGCAUGAUUUGGAGUUGGGGGCGGUGGCUUUUGCCCUAAAGAUUAGGCGGCAUUACCUCUACGGGGUUCGGUGUACCAUCUACACGGACCACAAGAGUUUGAGAUACCUCAUGGAUCAGCCGAAUCUGAAUAUGAGGCAGCGUCGGUGGUUGGACGUGGUAAAGGAUUAUGAUUGCGAGAUCCUCUACCCCCCGGGGAAGGCAAAUGUGGUGGCCGAUGCGCUUAGCCGCAAGGCGGCGCCGAUCAGGGACGUUUGCAUGAGGAUGACCGUGGUGACUCCCCUGUUGGAGCAGAUUCGGGAGGCUCAACAGGAGGCUAUCAAGGAGGAGCAUCGGAAGAGCGAGCGUGUGGUGGGUCAGGUUUCCUCCUUUGAUUAUGAUAGCCGAGGACUAUUGACACUACACCGUAGGGUGUGGGUGCCGUAUCACGGAGGCGUGCGCCAGAUUUUGAUGGAGGAGGCGCACAAGUCCCGAUUCUCUAUUCAUCCCGAGGCGACGAAGAUGUAUAGGGAUCUUCGUCUAGAUUAUUGGUGGCCCUGCAUGAAGUGGGAUGUGGCAUGGUACGUUGAGCGCUGCUUGACCUGCAGGAAGGUCAAGGCCGAACAUCAGAGACCGCAUGGCAAGAUGCAGCCGUUGGAUAUUCCACUGUGGAAAUGGGAAGAUAUCACGAUGGAUUUUAUCACGAAGCUUCCCAGGACCGCACGUGGAGUGGAUUCGAUUUGGGUCAUCGUGGAUAGAUUGACCAAGAGUGCUCACUUUAUCCCGAUUCAGGAGAGCAUAUCGGCCGAGAAAUUGGCCGACAUCUAUAUCAGGGAGAUUGUGGCACGGCAUGGGGUGCCAGUAUCGGUGAUCUCGGACAGGGAUGUGCGUUUUACUUCCAGGUUUUGGAAGAGAUUCCAUGACGAGUUGGGCACUCGUCUGCAUUUCAGCACCGCCUUUCACCCGCAGACAGAUGGACAGAGUGAGCGGACCAUCCAGACUUUGGAGGACAUGUUGCGGGCGUGUGUUCUGGAUUUCGGUGGUAGCUGGGAUACCUAUCUUCCUUUGGCUGAGUUCUCCUACAACAACAGCUAUCACGCGAGUAUCGACCGCCCUCCCUUCGAGAUGUUGUACGGACGGAGGUGUAGGACCCCGAUAUGCUGGGGUGAGGUUGGCCAGAGAGUCAUGGGAAGCACCGAAGUGGUGCUCAAGACGACUGAGAGGAUACAGCAGGUCCGGAGCAGGCUUCAGACUGCUCAGAGUCGGCAGAAAAGUUAUGCCGACAAGCGUCGAUCCGAUUUAGAGUUCCAGGUCGGGGAUAUGGUCCUCCUGAAGGUGUCGCCGUGGAAAGGCGUCAUCCGAUUCAGGAAGCGGGGCAAGUUGGGCCCGCGAUUCAUCGGACCGUUCAGGGUCUUAGCCCGGGUGGGCAAGGUAGCAUAUAGGCUGGAUCUGCCAGCCGAGCUUAGCCAGAUCCACAGCACUUUCCAUGUUUCGCAGUUGCGGAAGUGCCUAGUGGACGAUUCUGCAGUAGUACCUUUGGAGGAUAUUCAGGUUGAUGACAGCCUGAACUACAUCGAGCGCCCAGUCGCAAUCCUCGACAGGAAGUCGAAGGAUUUAAGGAACAAGAGGGUGGAGCUAGUGAAGGUGCAAUGGCAGCACCGCAAGGGUUCAGAGUGGACUUGGGAGCCGGUAGACGAGAUGAUGGAGCACUACCCCGAGCUGUUUCAGGAUCAGGCAGCAGACUUCGAGGACGAAGUCUAAAAUAAGUGGGGGAGAUUUGUAGCACCUGGUUUCCGGUAUGUGAAUUUUAUUUGAGCAUUGCCCUAAUUUAGCCUUAGACUCGGCGAGUCAUAGGGUCCGACUCGCCGAGUAGGGACGAGACUCAGGACGCGUUUUAAGUAGGCGACUCGACGAGUCCAUAUCCUGGACUCGGCGAGUCACCGCUGCGGGAUGAAACCCUAAGUUUCAAGGGUUUGCACCCUAUUUAAACCCUCAUUCCGCCCCAACUCGUCCCCAUUCACCCCAGAACUCCCCCUACAUCGUUUUCCCCUUGUUUUCUUGAGAGUUUGAGGUGCUCUUAGUGUAUUCUUGAAGGUUUUGAAGUGUAAGAGGAGUAGAUCAAGAAGAGGAGAAGGAGAUCAGCCAUCCUUGUGUCAUUUCAACAUUUCCUUUGAGGUAUAACCCGUUUUCCCCUUGAUUCUAUGCUUAAAACUUCAUUUGGGUCCUUCUUGGUCAAUUCCCCAAGUUUGCAUGUUCAUUAUAUGUUGUAAUAAGGCGUUUGGCCUUUGGAUCUAUGUAAGAUUGAGCUCCAGGAGCUCAGAUCUGUUAGCUUUUUGGCCUCAUGAGGCUUGUUAGCCCUAGAUCUACCAUUUUGAGACAUUUUGAGCCUUAUAAUCCAUAUUGGUGAAUAUCCACACGUAAAGUUGGAAACUUUACGUGUGAUUCGUGUCCUAGAAGUCCAGAUCUAUGAAUGGCAUGGUCUGGAACCGAGCAAAUCGGUAUAUUUAAGGAGUGCAUGGCGACGACUCGGCGAGUCGCAUAGGUGACUCGGCGAGUCUGGUCGCGAGUCACCGAAUUGGUCCCUUCUUCAUGUGUCGAGUUGAGCCUUGAGUCACAGGGGGUGACUCGGUGAGUUGGGAGCUGAACUCACCCAUGUUAGGACUCGGCGAGUCAAUGCCCUGACUCGGCGAGUCCAAGGCAAUCUUCAUAGCUCAAGAACAGACUCGGCGAGUUGUUCAUACAACUCGGCGAGUCUUAGCAUAAAGUGUUCAUCGGAUGAAGAUGAACUCGACGAGUUGUUCAUACAACUCGGCGAGUAGGAUGAAGGUGUUGAAUGGCAGUUAGAAGGUGAACUCGUCGAGUCAUAGCCCGACUCGACGAGUAGAACCAGGGACCCAGGACAUUGGUUUGCUAGGGACUCGGCGAGUGGUGAUCCACUCGGCGAGUCGGGUCAACUGAAAGUUGACUCCAGCUUUGGCUUAGAGUUAAUCCAGGGGUAAAAUGGUCAUUUUACCUAAAGGACAGUUAGCAGUGUUUGAUUGAGUAUGUCGUGGAAAUUGCAGCCGGAGGACUCCCGGAGCAGCAGCAGUCAGUUAGUUCCCGAUCAGUUCAGCAGCUACUUUGAGGUGAGUUACCUUCCAGUAGCGGUGGGUCUACGACCACAAUGUCGGCCCACCGGUAGGAGUUGUAUGUUAGAUGAUUGUCUUUGUGAUAUCAUCUAGGUUUGCUACUACCUGAUAUGUUAUAUGCUGGCAUGAUAUGUAUAUGUGAUAGUUGUAGAGUUCGGUUGUUAGGACCGAAGGGUAGGUCAGACACCCCA
This 7922-nucleotide long non-coding RNA is filed under the name Lactuca sativa (garden lettuce). Its description in RNAcentral is "long non-coding RNA (LSAT_LNC002582)". Lineage: Eukaryota; Viridiplantae; Streptophyta; Magnoliopsida; Asterales; Asteraceae. The record is from RNAcentral.